RNAcentral lists this ribosomal RNA (450 nucleotides) under uncultured bacterium. RNAcentral describes it as "partial 16S ribosomal RNA". It matches the Rfam family "Bacterial small subunit ribosomal RNA", at positions 338 to 795 of the family's 1533-position model. The record is from RNAcentral.
CCUACGGGGGGCUGCAGUGAGGAAUAUUGGUCAAUGGGCGGAAGCCUGAACCAGCCAUGCCGCGUGCAGGAAGACGGCCCUACGGGUUGUAAACUGCUUUUCCGGGGGAAGAAUAAGGGCGACGUGUCGCCCGAUGCCGGUACCCCGGGAAUAAGGAUCGGCUAACUCCGUGCCAGCAGCCGCGGUAAUACGGAGGAUCCGAGCGUUAUCCGGAUUUACUGGGUUUAAGGGGUGCGCAGACGGGCGCGGUGAAAUACGGGGGCUCAACCUUCGAACGGCCGUUGAGACUGGGCGCCUUGGAUUCGGUCGAGGCGGGCGGAAUGCGACAUGUAGCGGUGAAAUGCUUAGAUAUGUCGCAGAACGCCGAUUGCGAAGGCAGCUCGCCAGGCCGACAUUGACGCUGAGGCACGAAAGCGUGGGGAUCGAACAGGAUUAGAUACCCGAGUAGUC